Molecule: long non-coding RNA, 1905 nt
Organism: Rhineura floridana
Lineage: Eukaryota; Metazoa; Chordata; Lepidosauria; Squamata; Rhineuridae
Exons: 5
Source: RefSeq, a predicted model, not a curated record
CUCAGGCACUCCACUAAACCAGCCCCAGCGUACCUGAGCCCUUCCCGCGUAGAAGAGUCCACCACCGCUUUUAAAAGGGGGCUUCCUGGCCAAAUUUCCUAGGAUGUGGCGCUUUUGUCUUUGUUGUGGCGGUUGGGUUUUUUUGGGCUUCCCAGGGAGGCAUCUGGCUGGCCACUGUGAGAACAGGAUGCUGGACUAGUUCCAGGCUCACCACUGUAUUGGAGCUAGAUGGUUGUCAGUGGCCAUGUGGCGGACCCAAGUCCCAGAUCUGUCUUCUCACUGGUAUUAACAAAUGGAAUCUAUGCAACUGAGGCUGUUAUGCAACUGGCUCUAUGUUACAAGAACCCAACAAAUACCACCUGGCAGCAAAUAGCAGCCAAUCAAAGACAGGGUUGUGAUAUAGUAGCUGAAAAUUUGGAAGUGGGGUUCUAUUAACAGGGAGACCAAUCCAAUAUGUCAUCUCAUCUCUUGAUUGAACCACAUAAAGAACUGAAAAUACCUCUGACAUUGAGCAAGUCCCCAAUUGCUUAAAAAUCACAAUACAGAAUGCCUCAGAGGCCCUGCUUGGGGUGUCUUCAUCCCAGACUGAGGCUGGUGAGCACAAGAGGAGAUGAAUCGCUUUAUCCUGCUGCUCUGAACCACUGCAGCUUCAGCUUGGCCUGGAAAGUCCACAGAUUCAGCAAGGUCCUUAAUCAAGGGAUUAAAGACCAACUAAAUAAUAGCUUCCCUAGCAGCCACACCCAGGACCAACUUUUCUGCUCCACACUUGCUAUCUUCUUCAAACAGGGUUUUUCUGCUAUGAAACCCCACCCACCAGACUGAACCAACUAAAACAAGAUUGUGGGGGUUACACUAGCAGAUGGCAACGCUUCUGUGUGAGGUUGUCUGCAUUUCUAGUUAAAAGCUAAAGAUUGCGUUUCAGCUGGCUGGAGAACUUGUGUUACAACACUGUGUGUUUUAUAAUUUGAUCCAGUGCAGUCAGAAGCACGCACCACUGAGUUCAAUGGAGUUUACUUGCAGGAAUCUGUGUUUAGGAUUGCAAUCACACUGGCUGCUGCUGCUAAUAAACUGGGCACUGUGCUAUGUACUACUGUUCUGUGUGUAUACACACACACACAGAGCUGCCUGGUCUUUUUGGAUUCCCCAAUGUGGCCUGGCUAGAGGAGCUGUGAAGGUGAGCUCCUGUACUUCAGAAGUUGCCAUUACACCACUGAAGGAGGCAAGCAGCAGGCCUACUGGUUUAUUUCCUUCAUCUGGGAACCAAAGUGGGAAGAGGGAAUCAUCUUCAGAGGUCACAUACCUUCAGAUAUAUCCUUAGAACCCAAUCUCCCCCAUUGUUAUAGGAUUAUGCUCCCUUUAUUCACAUGCCCCUUUUUGUGAAAAGGCUAAGAACAGACUCCCUCCCCCAGUAUUAAAUGUACAUGGCUGCCCUGCCCAUCACAUCAAGUUUGGCCCUGAGUAACGGGGAACAUCGAAUGCAACAGAAGCAGAGCCCAGAGAGCAGCAAGCAUUUGUAGGUGGCUCUGAACAGCUCCUCUGCCUUGGCUGCUGCAGUCAAAGCUCCCCCUCCUGUUGCAAUCUGUCAAGAACAAACUUGUCUGUGGCAGCUGUUCGCUAAAAUUGCUAGCAUAUCCAACUCUGCAGAAAACACUCGCUCACCAUAGUAAACGCUGGUGUUCUUUGUUUUUCUUAUACUUUUUUGCUUUCUGAAUUCGUCUACAACAGUUAUAUGUGGUAGGGUUGGUCAUUUUAAAAUGAGAACACAAAAUAAAGUAAAACCAUUCAUUCAGCCUGAACUGAUAAACAGAACAUUUGAGACUGGUUUCUUAGAAUAGCAUCUGCCCAAGAGCCAACCCUCCAUUGGUGAGGAGCCAAAACUUACUGUGAGAGGGUUUUACUUUAUUC